RNAcentral lists this ribosomal RNA (643 nucleotides) under Fictibacillus phosphorivorans. RNAcentral's name for it is "bacterial SSU rRNA". It matches the Rfam family "Bacterial small subunit ribosomal RNA", at positions 77 to 705 of the family's 1533-position model. The record is from RNAcentral. Lineage: Bacteria; Bacillati; Bacillota; Bacilli; Caryophanales; Fictibacillaceae.
AGCUUGCUCCUCUGAUUUAGCGGCGGACGGGUGAGUAACACGUGGGUAAUCUGCCUGUAAGACGGGGAUAACUCCGGGAAACCGGGGCUAAUACCGGAUAAUAAGAGAAGAAGCAUUUCUUCUUUUUGAAAGUUGGUUUCGGCUAACACUUACAGAUGAGCCCGCGGCGCAUUAGCUAGUUGGUGAGGUAACGGCUCACCAAGGCGACGAUGCGUAGCCGACCUGAGAGGGUGAUCGGCCACACUGGGACUGAGACACGGCCCAGACUCCUACGGGAGGCAGCAGUAGGGAAUCUUCGGCAAUGGGCGAAAGCCUGACCGAGCAACGCCGCGUGAGCGAUGAAGGCCUUCGGGUCGUAAAGCUCUGUUGUUAGAGAAGAACAAGUACGAGAGUAACUGCUCGUACCUUGACGGUACCUAACCAGAAAGCCACGGCUAACUACGUGCCAGCAGCCGCGGUAAUACGUAGGUGGCAAGCGUUAUCCGGAAUUAUUGGGCGUAAAGCGCGCGCAGGCGGUCUCUUAAGUCUGAUGUGAAAGCCCACGGCUCAACCGUGGAGGGUCAUUGGAAACUGGGAGACUUGAGUGCAGGAGAGAAAAGUGGAAUUCCACGUGUAGCGGUGAAAUGCGUAGAGAUGUGGAGGA